GUGGGGAAUCUUGCGCAAUGGGCGAAAGCCUGACGCAGCCAUGCCGCGUGAAUGAUGAAGGUCUUAGGAUUGUAAAAUUCUUUCACCGGGGACGAUAAUGACGGUACCCGGAGAAGAAGCCCCGGCUAACUUCGUGCCAGCAGCCGCGGUAAUACGAAGGGGGCUAGCGUUGCUCGGAAUUACUGGGCGUAAAGGGCGCGUAGGCGGACAGUUUAGUCAGAGGUGAAAGCCCAGGGCUCAACCUUGGAAUUGCCUUUGAUACUGGCUGUCUUGAGUACGGAAGAGGUGAGUGGAACUCCGAGUGUAGAGGUGAAAUUCGUAGAUAUUCGUAAGAACACCAGUGGCGAAGGCGACUCACUGGCCCGUUACUGACGCUGAGGCGCGAAAGCGUGGGGAGCAAACAGGAUUAGAUACCCGAGUAGUCC
This 425-nucleotide ribosomal RNA is filed under the name uncultured bacterium. RNAcentral's name for it is "partial 16S ribosomal RNA". It matches the Rfam family "Bacterial small subunit ribosomal RNA", at positions 354 to 796 of the family's 1533-position model. The record is from RNAcentral.